AAAAAGCAGAAGCUUCCAGAGAACUUAAGUGUUAGAAUGGAACACAGGAUCUCUAGUAUAAUUUCUACUUAAAUCAGGGCAUUACUAAGACAUUAGCUUCCGGCUAAAAACGUGCAGUUACAAGGUGCCCAAUAUCUUCUCUUCCCAAACUUCUUUUUUUUUCCCCCAAACUUCUAUUUAGCUAGUGACUCUGACCAUCUUAAGCUAGACCAACACCUUGUUUUUCUGAUUGAAAUUUAGCAUGCUUCAGCUCUUUUUUAAAUUAAUCUUAUUUGUUCAUAUAUUUAUACUUUCAGUAGUAACUUACCAGAGGGUUUGUUUUUUUUAAUGCACCACUCUUCUAGAUGCUAGAAGAGAAAAUAAUAAAGGCAUGGAUUUUGUUUUAAAAAAAUCAGAUGCUUUUGGGAUACCUACCACAGAUGAGGAGACCAGGGAAUGACAGCAAACCUUUGGUUCAGAUGUGAAGAAAAAACAGAAUUUAGCCAUUUGGAAAAGAGGAGAAAAAACACUAGAAGCAGAUGAAGUACCUGAGGCAUAGAAAAGCUAAGUCAGUUUUCCAAAAUCACAAGGCUAGUAACUGGGAGAAUUGAAAUUCGAGUUGGCAUUUUCACUCCACAGUUGAUGCUCUUAAAUUAGGGUAAUGAAAGCGUAGCAUCAUAUUCAGGGAGUCGUAAGUAAUUAUUUAAGGCUGGAGUGUGGGAUGUGUUAAGUGGAAGGGUUGAGAUGGUGGUAAAAUGAGUCAGAAGAGUUAGGCAGGGGCCAGAUUGUGAUGAGUUUGGGAGGUGCUGCCAAUAUGUUUGGAUUGUAUUCUCGUUUGCUGUUUCUUCUAACACGGAAAGAGCCAUUUGAGUUUGUCCUCGUGUUACUGAUUUGGCUUUCUCUAAGGAGUAGCAAGUUGGUGAAACCUAGAGAAUCGGCUUCUGAAAGCUUCAUUUCUAAAGCAUCAAGAAUAUUAUUCUCAUUGGAAAAUUGCUGCUGAUACCCAUCAAGUGCCUGCUUUCUUCUCCAACCAGAGCAUAAAGAGUCCAUGUUUUUACCCUCUGAGCGUGCCUGUAAGUAGAACUAAAUGUGAUUCUUCAUAUAAAGUCCUCAAGAAAGAGGAAGAAUGGGUUCCCCAAAUUUGAUGGAUGUAGGUGUUCAAAUGAGAAAGUGAAUAAAGUGUCAAACUCAAGCACAGAAAAGGAUAAAGGAAUUAAAGAGUCAGAUAGAGGGGAGAGUGCUUAUUCAAGUCUAAAUGUUUACUGCUUCAUGGUCCAUUAGGGCAUCCUGGAAGGAGGCUUAGUGCAAAAUAAAUGAAUACAAUUCUUAACAAAUAAUGCCAUUAAUGCUGCAGGAUGUUCAUUUCUUUUUAAAAUCUAUUGUUAUGUGUUGAAUGAUAUAUUUAUUAUUAACUGUGAAAACAUAACACUCUUCAUCUUAAGUUUAUUUCUACAUUAAUUCAACUUCAUCUCUCUAGAAAAAUUUCCCUUGUUUAUAACAUCUAAUAAAAUCUUCCCAAAGGUAGGAAACUCACCAAAAGGAUAUCUGUCCUUGUAUCCAAAUGACACUUUUACUUUUUCCCUUCUAAAUAUUCUCUUCUGUCUUUAAGUAUUUCAUUGCAGAUACAGAGGCCAAAAUCAUGCUUGAUCUAUAAAAGCUAAUAAAAACUGUAGCUUUCCCAUCACAACUCAAUUGCUCUUUCAUUUCUUAAUCAUUUUGUACAAGUCCUCUAUUUACUAGACACUGUGCUAGGUGCUGGGUUGAUAAUGGC
This 1750-nucleotide long non-coding RNA is filed under the name Canis lupus familiaris (dog). RNAcentral's name for it is "lncRNA (ENSCAFG00040024431.1)". Lineage: Eukaryota; Metazoa; Chordata; Mammalia; Carnivora; Canidae. The record is from RNAcentral.